This 745-nucleotide ribosomal RNA is filed under the name uncultured Candidatus Poseidoniales archaeon. RNAcentral's name for it is "bacterial SSU rRNA". It matches the Rfam family "Archaeal small subunit ribosomal RNA", at positions 4 to 754 of the family's 1478-position model. Lineage: Archaea; Methanobacteriati; Thermoplasmatota; Candidatus Poseidoniia; Candidatus Poseidoniales. The record is from RNAcentral.
UCGGUUGAUCCUGCCGGAGGCUACCGCUAUUGGAGUUCGAUUAAGCCAUGCGAGUCGAGAGUCUUAGGGACUCGGCGUACCGCUCAGUAACACGUGGGUAACCUGCCCUAUGCUGGGGAAUAACCUCGGGAAACUGAGAAUAAUACCCCAUAGUUCACCACGCCUGGAACGGUGGGUGGAUGAAAGCUCCGGCGGCAUAGGAUGGGCCUGCGACGUAUCAGGUUGUAGGGGGUGUAACGUACCCUCUAGCCAUCAACGCGUACGGGUGUUGGGAGACAUAGCCCGGAGAUGGAUUCUGAGACACGAAUCCAGACCCUACGGGGUGCAGCAGGCGCGAAAACUUGGCAAUGCGAGCAAUCGUGACCAGGGAACUCCAAGUGGCUGGGGUAAUACCCAGUUUUUUCUUGACUCUUCAAAGGUCUUGGAAUAAGGGGUGGGUAAGGACGGUGCCAGCCGCCGCGGUAAUACCGGCGCCUCAAGUGGUAGUCGCUUUUAUUGGGCCUAAAACGUCCGUAGCCGGUCUGGUGCAUUCGUGGGUAAAUCAACCCGCUCAACGGGUUGAAUUCUGCGAGCACGGCCAGACUUGGGACCGGGAGAGGUGUGGGGUACUCUCAGGGUAGGGGUAAAAUCCUGUCAUCCUGAGAGGACCACCUGUUGCGAAGGCGCCACACUAGAACGGAUUCGACGGUCAGGGACGAAACCUAGGGGCACGAACCGGAUUAGAUACCCGGGUAGUCCUAGGUGU